Molecule: transfer RNA, 84 nt
Filed under: Clostridiales bacterium
Lineage: Bacteria; Bacillati; Bacillota; Clostridia; Eubacteriales
Description: tRNA-Leu
Rfam family: tRNA
About the family: Transfer RNA (tRNA) molecules are approximately 80 nucleotides in length. Their secondary structure includes four short double-helical elements and three loops (D, anti-codon, and T loops). Further hydrogen bonds mediate the characteristic L-shaped molecular structure. tRNAs have two regions of fundamental functional importance: the anti-codon, which is responsible for specific mRNA codon recognition, and the 3' end, to which the tRNAs corresponding amino acid is attached (by aminoacyl-tRNA synthetases). tRNAs cope with the degeneracy of the genetic code in two manners: having more than one tRNA (with a specific anti-codon) for a particular amino acid; and 'wobble' base-pairing, i.e. permitting non-standard base-pairing at the 3rd anti-codon position.
Source: RNAcentral
GCGGCGGUGGCGGAACUGGCAGACGCGCACGUUUGAGGGGCGUGUGGGAUGACCAUACGGGUUCAAGUCCCGUCCGCCGCACCA